GACGAACGCUGGCGGCGUGCUUAACACAUGCAAGUCGAACGGAAAGGCCCUGCUUUUGUGGGGUGCUCGAGUGGCGAACGGGUGAGUAACACGUGAGUAACCUGCCCUUGACUUUGGGAUAACUUCAGGAAACUGGGGCUAAUACCGGAUAGGAGCUCCUGCUGCAUGGUGGGGGUUGGAAAGUUUCGGCGGUUGGGGAUGGACUCGCGGCUUAUCAGCUUGUUGGUGGGGUAGUGGCUUACCAAGGCUUUGACGGGUAGCCGGCCUGAGAGGGUGACCGGCGACAUUGGGACUGAGAUACGGCCCAGACUCCUACGGGAGGCAGAAGUGGGGAAUAUGGCACAAUGGGCGGAAGCCUGAUGCAGCAACGCCGCGUGCGGGAUGACGGCCUUCGGGUUGUGAACCGCUUUCGCCUGUGACGAAGCGUGAGUGACGGUAAUGGGUAAAGAAGCACCGGCUAACUACGUG
RNAcentral lists this ribosomal RNA (468 nucleotides) under uncultured bacterium. RNAcentral describes it as "partial 16S ribosomal RNA". It matches the Rfam family "Bacterial small subunit ribosomal RNA", at positions 28 to 507 of the family's 1533-position model. The record is from RNAcentral.